RNAcentral lists this transfer RNA (56 nucleotides) under Bos taurus (domestic cattle). It matches the Rfam family "tRNA", at positions 8 to 63 of the family's 71-position model. From Rfam's summary of the family: Transfer RNA (tRNA) molecules are approximately 80 nucleotides in length. RNAcentral also lists the same sequence under 5 other names. The record is from Rfam by way of RNAcentral. Lineage: Eukaryota; Metazoa; Chordata; Mammalia; Artiodactyla; Bovidae.
UAGCUUAGAUGGUAAAGAAUCUGUCUGCAAUGCAGAAGACCGGGGUUCGAUCCCUG